Bos taurus (domestic cattle) is the source of this 3640-nucleotide long non-coding RNA. The record is from Ensembl. NCBI's taxonomy places the organism in Eukaryota, Metazoa, Chordata, Mammalia, Artiodactyla, Bovidae.
GAGGGAAGGAGGCAGUGAAAGAAAAUGGGAGCAGGAGGCAGAGCGGCGCCUGGACCGGAGGGAAGGGCCACCCCACCCCACCCCAAGCUGUCGCGGGGCUCCUCCCCGCCCUCCAGCCCAGGCCUCCCGCCGGCUCAUUGCUGGUUCCUAUGCACUGUCCCCACCCCAAGACUCCAGCCUAGGAGCCCCCCCUUCAAGGAGGUGGCUGCACCCCAUUGGCCUGUCUCCUAACCCUCUUGUCCUGGCACCAGGGGUGGCAAACGAAGAGGGAACAACCUCCUCCAUCCGUCUCUCUCUGGGCAUCCUGCCCUGCCCAGGGACUGGCAUGGGGCAAUACCCGCAGUGUCCCCCAACUCAAGGCCUCCAGGGUUGACCCCAAAGAGCCCCCUUAGCGGGAAGGAGGUUUGGGUACAUCUACAUCCAUCCUACCUUCUGGAGAGGCAUGCGGAGGUUCCAGAGAGGGGAAACUGCGGCAGAAGAGAGCCAAAGUCACAGUAUGGACCGCCUCACCCCUCCCAAGUGUCCCACCCUUAAUGCCCCCCAGUACCCCCACCACCCGGCUCCUGGCCUACUCCCCAUCCUCCGUGGCAACCACGAUCCUGCCUGGGGGAACUGGAGUCUGGGUCCACGAUGGAAAUCUGCCCUUGAAGAACUGCCCCCAGGGAUGGAUUCCAGUGCUAUGCUCCACGUAGCACCUUCCCUACCCCACUUCCUACUCCUCAAGCCCCUCUAGGUCCUGGUGACAUCCACUCCUCCAGCCAGCCCUCCCAGCCUGCUGGCACUUGCUCCCUACUGUUUCCCAUGGGGUUGGGCAGUGGGAUCUGGCUGCCUAGGUUCAGAUCCAGGCCUCACCUCUUUCUGCCUGUAUUCCCCCCCACCCUCGCCCCCGGCAGCUUGGUUAACCAUUCAGAGCCUCAGUGUCCCCAUCUGUCAAACGAGGGUAGCUUUGAAAACCUAUGGCAUGAGACUUUGAUGAUGCUGAAAGGUCAUAUGUGCAAACUGGGUAGAAGAACCCUAGGCCUGUUGCUAGAGCCACACCGGCUCCUCACGUGUGCCAAGCUGCUUCAGUGGUGUCCGAUCCUUUGUGAACCCGUGGACUGUAGCCCACCAGGCUUCUCUGUCCAUGGGGAUUCUGCAGGCAAGAAUACAGGAGUGGGUUGCCAUGUCCUCCUCCAGAGGAUCUUCCUGACCCAGGGAUCAAACUCAAGUCUCUGACAUCUCCUACAUUGGCAGGAAAGAGACAGACACACAACGGGAGAAUGCUACAUGGUGAUGGAGACAGCCUGGAGUGAUGUGUCUGCAAGCCAAGGAAUGCCAAGGAUGGCUGACAACCACGAGAAGCUGGGAGAGGCAUGGAGAGAGCAUCCCCUAGAGACCUCCGGGAGAGCGGGGCCCUGCUGACACCUUGAUUUCAGAGUUCUGAUGUCCAGAACUGUGAGAUGAUAUAUUCCUUUUUUAAAUUUUUUUUUGCUAUUUAUUUAUUUAUGGCUGUACUGGGUCUUCGUGGCUGCACGUGCGUUUUCUCUAGUUGUGGCGAGUGGGAGCUACUCUGUUGCAGUACACAAGCUUCUCAUUGUGGUGGCUUCAGCUCCGUGAAAGUGUUAGUGGCUCAGUCAUGUCCGACUCUUUGUGACCCCAUGAACUGUAGCCCUUCAGCCUCCUAUGUCCAUGGAAUUCUCCAGGCAAGAAUACUGGAGUGGGUAGCAAUGCCCUUCUCCAGGGGGUCUUCCUGACCCAGGAAUCAAACCAGGGUCUCCUGCAUUUCGGGCAGAUUCUUUACUGUCUGAGCCACCAGUGAAGCCUUUCAGCUCAAUGACUUGGAGCAAAUCUUUUGCCCACUCCUGGCUUUUGUAUGCUUAGCACUCUCUGCAGUCCCAAGGCAUAAACGUGGACAACGGGUCCUCUGUCCCAUGGACAUGGCAUCACUUCACAUACUGCGAAGCCCUUCCAGCCUUCCAGAAUCUCCCCAGGCAGAAUUAAUGCAUUCCAAGUGCCUCAGUGCAGGGUUAGGUGGCUGCUGUCAUUACUGAGAAUUUAAGGCUAUUGAUGUCCUUGUUUCUCCAGCAAGUCAAGAACCUCCCUGAGAGCAAGAAAUGGCCUUUCAUUGAUGCAGCCCAGUGUGACAGAACUAUCUUCUGGUAAAACAAAGGGGUGUAACUCCCUUUAGGUGCACAGGCAGUCAGUAAUGUCCAUCUGGUCAAAAGCAAGAGAAUUUACAUGUGUGACACAAGCUGAAUCUCAGUGAAGACCCCAGUGCUGCUGUUAAAACGGCCUGGGUUCAAAUCCCAGUCCAACCUAGGACUGGCUGAAUCAGUUGUAAGUGAGUGACUUUGUUGCUCUGUACCUCAGUUUCUCUGACUGUAAAAUGGGGAAUAGUGGCAAUCCUACCUGGUUGGAUCAUUUCAAGGAUUAUGUUUUUUUUUAAGUUGAAGUAUAAUUGCUUUAGGGCUUCCCUGGUGGCUCAGUGGCAAAGAAUCCACCAGCAAUGCAAAAGAUGUGGGUUCAAUUCCUGGGUUGGGAAGAUCCCCCUGGAGGAGAGCAUGACAACCCACUCCAGUAUUCUUGCCUAGAAAAUUCCAAGGACAAGAGGAACCUGGUGGGCUAUAGUUCAUAGGGUUGCAAAAAGUCAACAUAACUCAGUGACUGAGCACAGCACACACACACAUAACUGUUUUACAAUUCUGUGUUAGUUUCAGGUAUGUAGCAAAGUGAGUCAGUUAUACAUACGCAUAUAUCCACUCUGUUUUAGAUUCUUUUCCCAUACAGGUUAUUACAGAGUAUCAAGUAGUUCCCUGUGUAUACAGUAGGUCCUUAUUAUUUAUCUGUUUGAUAUACAGUACUGUGUAUAUGAAGGAUUAAACCUUUAAUCCAUUUGAGUUCAUUUCACCAGUGAUAUAAGAAAGGGAUCUGGUUUCAUUCUUUCACAUGUGAAUAUCCAGUUUUCCCAGAACCAGACUUCCCUGGUGGCUCAGACGGUAAAACAUCUGCCUGCAAUGCAGGAGACCCGGGUUUGAUUCCUGGGUUGGGAAGAUCCCCUGCAGAAGGAAAUGGCAAUCCACUCCAGCACUCUUGCCUGGAAAAUCUCAUGGACGGAGGAGCCUGAUAGGCUACAGUCCAUGGGGUCGAAAAGAGUCGGACACGACUGAGCGACUUCACUUUCACUUUCACCUUUUCUCUAUUGAAUCUUCUUGGGUCCUUUGUCAAAUAUUAGUUGACCAAAUAUGUAUGGGUUUACUUCCAGGCCUCUUGAUUCCAUCCUACUGGUCUAUGUGUCUUUUUUUUAGUGCCAAUACUAUACUGUUUUGAUUACUAUUGCUUUGUAAUACAGUGUGAAAACAAGAUGUUUGAUGCCUCCGGCUUUGUUCUUGCUCCCUUCAAGGAUUAAAUGAGAUCAUACCAUACUCAGAAGUUAGAUGCACAGUAAGUACGUAAUGAGUGUUGGUUCCACACAUGAGUGGGCAGCACUGGCAGAGUGUGUGCAUGGAGAAAGAUGUGAGGCCAGCAAGCUGCCCCCCAGGGGCCAUACGGUCAGCACCAGUGGACUAAGAACUCUUCCCUUAUAUCAUUUUCUUCCUUAUGCAGGUACAGGAAGAGAAAGGGGCUGACUGGGGGUGAUUCGAGAUCCAAUCUAGCCUGACUU